AUGACGAUGAAGAUGACGAAGAGGAGUUGGCUCCCCAGACACCGCCGGCUGCCACCAAGGCCCUCGACUCUGGAGGGAUGUGCGUGGGGCAUGACGCAGAGGCAAAUGAGGGUUGGCAGGAGGUGCUACCGCGGCGCGGCCAGCGUCGUCCGACUUCGUCGCCUUCCUCGACAAUGGCUCCUCGUCCCAUCCCCGCUUGGCUUCGCGGUAGAUGUUACAGAUGCUUCGCUCAUGGUCAUCGCGCGACUGUUUGCAAAGAGCCGUUGUGGUGCUCCCGUUGUUUGGAGAAUGGUCAUCGUGCGCGUGGAUGUUGCAACCCAUGGCGUCCUCUAA
RNAcentral lists this ribosomal RNA (333 nucleotides) under Triticum aestivum (bread wheat). RNAcentral's name for it is "partial small subunit ribosomal RNA". Lineage: Eukaryota; Viridiplantae; Streptophyta; Magnoliopsida; Poales; Poaceae. The record is from RNAcentral.